Molecule: ribosomal RNA, 400 nt
Filed under: uncultured bacterium
Lineage: Bacteria
Description: bacterial SSU rRNA
Rfam family: Bacterial small subunit ribosomal RNA
Source: RNAcentral
AGCGAACGUUAGCGGCGGGCUUAACACAUGCAAGUCGAACGCGAAAGGGAUUCGUCCCCAGUAGCGUGGCGUCCGGGUGAGUAACACGUAGGAAACCUUGCCUAGAGUGGGGGAUAACGUCCCGAAAGGGACGCUAAUACCGCAUAAGCCCACGUCGGCCUCGGCCGAUGCGGGAAAAGAUGGCCUCUGAAUUCAAGCUAUCGCUCAAGGAUGGUCCUGCGGCGCAUCAGCUAGUUGGUGGGUAACGGCCUACCAAGGCGAAGACGCGUAGCUGGUCUGAGAGGAUGAUCAGCCACACUGGCACUGAAACACGGGCCAGACUCCUACGGGAGGCAGCAGUGGGAAUAUUGGACAAUGGGCGCAAGCCUGAUCCAGCCACGCCGCGUGAGUGAUGAAGGCC